AAGUAAAAGUCGUAACAAGGUUUCCGUAGGUGAACCUGCGGAAGGAUCAUUAUUGAAAUAAACUUGAUAAGUUGCUGCUGGUUCUCUAGGGAACAAUGUGCACACUUGUCAUCUUUGUAUCUUCACCUGUGCACCUUUUGUAGACCUGACUAUCUCUCUGAAUGCUUUAUAUAGCACUUAGGAUUGAGAAUUGACUUCUUGUCUUUUCUUACAUUUUCAGGUCUAUGUUUCUUCAUAUACCCAAUGUAUGUUUAUAGAAUGUAAUUAAUGGGCCUUGGUGCCUAUAAACCUUUACAACUUUCAGCAACGGAUCUCUUGGCUCUCGCAUCGAUGAAGAACGCAGCGAAAUGCGAUAAGUAAUGUGAAUUGCAGAAUUCAGUGAAUCAUCGAAUCUUUGAACGCACCUUGCGCUCCUUGGUAUUCCGAGGAGCAUGCCUGUUUGAGUGUCAUUAAUAUUAUCAACCUUUUUGGUUGGAUUUGGGUUUGCUGGCCUCUAUGAGGUCAGCUCCCCUUAAAUGCAUUAGCAGACAACAUUUUGCCAACUGUCCAUUGGUGUGAUAAUUAUCUACGCUAUUGACAUGAAGCAGAGGUUCAGCUUCUAACUGUCCAUUGACUUGGACAAUUUUAUUAAUAUGACCUCAAAUCAGGUAGGACUACCCGCUGAACUUAAGCAUAUCAAUAAGCGG
This 686-nucleotide ribosomal RNA is filed under the name Calonarius arenicola. RNAcentral describes it as "eukaryotic LSU rRNA". The stretch from base 296 to 449 matches the Rfam family "5.8S ribosomal RNA". Lineage: Eukaryota; Fungi; Basidiomycota; Agaricomycetes; Agaricales; Cortinariaceae. The record is from RNAcentral.